Molecule: ribosomal RNA, 585 nt
Filed under: uncultured bacterium
Lineage: Bacteria
Description: bacterial SSU rRNA
Rfam family: Bacterial small subunit ribosomal RNA
Source: RNAcentral
CCUACGGGAGGCAGCAGUGGGGAAUUUUGGACAAUGGGCGCAAGCCUGAUCCAGCAAUGCCGCGUGCAGGAUGAAGGCCUUCGGGUUGUAAACUGCUUUUGUACGGAACGAAACGGUCUGCCCUAAUACGGUGGGCUAAUGACGGUACCGUAAGAAUAAGCACCGGCUAACUACGUGCCAGCAGCCGCGGUAAUACGUAGGGUGCGAGCGUUAAUCGGAAUUACUGGGCGUAAAGCGUGCGCAGGCGGUUAUGUAAGACAGAUGUGAAAUCCCCGGGCUCAACCUGGGACCUGCAUUUGUGACUGCAUAGCUAGAGUACGGUAGAGGGGGAUGGAAUUCCGCGUGUAGCAGUGAAAUGCGUAGAUAUGCGGAGGAACACCGAUGGCGAAGGCAAUCCCCUGGACCUGUACUGACGCUCAUGCACGAAAGCGUGGGGAGCAAACAGGAUUAGAUACCCUGGUAGUCCACGCCCUAAACGAUGUCAACUGGUUGUUGGGUCUUCACUGACUCAGUAACGAGCUAACGCGUGAAGUUGACCGCCUGGGGAGUACGGCCGCAAGGUUGAAACUUAAAGUGAAUUGACGG